UUUUUGUUUUUUUUCCACUGGGAGAACAAUGCCUGGCACAUGUUAGGUAUUUAAUAGCUAUGUAAUAACUAAAAAAGAGAUCAGGAGGGCUUUUGUGUAGUCUGCUUCGAAAUUUUAAAAGAAAUACUGUUACUGGCAUUUGUUUCCAGUUCAGAAACACAAUCGUCCUUGUCAUUGUGGGGAUUUCUGCAAAGGUUUUGGAAGUAUCAAGUGUGGUAUUAGAUGGCUGUGAUCAAACAAGAAUGUCCAAUGCAAUUUCCAGCUUUUCCUUUGUUCCAAGGCAGAGCAGUACACAGAGCUGGAUAAGUGGACUCUUCUUUGUGCAGAUGGAGAACAUAUCCCUUACAAAGUACCUAAAGCCCUAAAGUGGCUUCCUUUGUUAAUGCAGAUGACCCUAAAGGCUUCUGAAACACUUAGCUCUUAGGAAAUGUUAGUCUGUUUUUCUCUAUGGAGCCUACAGUACCCAUGCUCUCACUUUUGGUUUACUUUGUUUAUAUUCUCUUGAUAAAUUGAUUUUGACUAAUAAUAGUGCAGCAAAGAUUUUAUCUGAUCAAUACAGCAUAGGACGCCAUUCUGAAGGUAGAUUCAAAGAGUCCUGCAGCCCUGUUACAAGGAAUCUAGGUAAAGGAAAUUUUAAGAUUCUGGGUUUUUUGUGGGGUUUUUUUUGCCUUUUCUAGGGCUGCUCCCACGGCAUAUGGAGGUUGAAAGAUGAAAAAUCUGCUUCCCUGUUGCCAUUUCACAAAUAUGCCAAGGCAGUACCAUAUUAGUCACUAAGACAGAUAUUUCCCUUAUAAAUUGUCAAAUAUGUUGUAAAAUAUCCAUUUUUACAAGGCAAGCAAUAAGGCCAUAUUUAUUUUUUAAAUGGCCCAUCAACGUUUUUAUUUCUUUGGAAUCGUCUCAUGAAAAAAAAAAAAUUUACUCUCAAUAAUGGUCUAAAGAGAAGCCUGCAUGAAGCAAUGCGGUGUUACUCAUCCUUUUUAAAAAAGGUGUUGAGUGACCUCUGGAGGCAAGUGGGGGAAAGUAUCAUCCUGCUUUCAGGAAUGAAAUGGGGAGAUUUGGAAAGCAGAUUUCUUUUCAUCUAGAGAAAAAAAUUUUUUGAGGUUUAAUCAGAGUGAAUUAAAAUGUUUAACUUUAGAAUUAGUUUACUGAAUCUCAAUUCAAUUAUGUAACAUUUUUUUCAUUUUUAAAAAAGUUUUACUCAAGUAUAGUUGACCUAUAAUGUUGUGAUAAUUUCUGCUAUACAACAAAGUGAUUUCAGUUAUACCAUACACACACCCAAUAUCUUUCAGAUUCUUCUCCCCCAUAGAUUAUCACAAAAUAUUGGGUAGGGUUCUCUGUGCUAUAGAGAAGUUGCCUGUUGGCCAAUCAAUUAUACAAUAUUUAUUAAGGAUAUAAUACAAUGCUACAAGGGAGAUAGAAACAUAAGAUCCACAGUUUCCAUCUCAUGGAGUUUACAAUCUACUAGGGGACAAAAGAUAAGUGCU
Molecule: long non-coding RNA, 1484 nt
Filed under: Sus scrofa (pig)
Lineage: Eukaryota; Metazoa; Chordata; Mammalia; Artiodactyla; Suidae
Description: lncRNA (ENSSSCG00025075682.1)
Source: RNAcentral